GAACCCGAAGCUUAGGCAGCGAAGCAUCCGGCUUUUAAUCGGACGAGCAGGGCGCGAGUCCCUGCGGGUUCA
RNAcentral lists this transfer RNA (72 nucleotides) under Luteolibacter yonseiensis. It matches the Rfam family "tRNA". Rfam says of the family: Transfer RNA (tRNA) molecules are approximately 80 nucleotides in length. Their secondary structure includes four short double-helical elements and three loops (D, anti-codon, and T loops). Lineage: Bacteria; Pseudomonadati; Verrucomicrobiota; Verrucomicrobiia; Verrucomicrobiales; Verrucomicrobiaceae. The record is from Rfam by way of RNAcentral.